UUAUCGGGAUCGAGGACAUUGUGUGGUGGGUAGUUUGACUGGGGCGGUCUCCUCCCAAAGAGUAACGGAGGAGCACGAAGGUACCCUCAGGCUGGUCGGAAAUCAGCCAAUGAGCGCAAGAGUAGAAGGGUGCUUGACUGCGAGACAGACACGUCGAGCAGGUGCGAAAGCAGGUUCUAGUGAUCCGGUGGUUCUGUAUGGAAGGGCCAUCGCUCAACGGAUAAAAGGUACUCCGGGGAUAACAGGCUGAUACCGCCCAAGAGUUCACAUCGACGGCGGUGUUUGGCACCUCGAUGUCGGCUCAUCACAUCCUGGGGCUGAAGCCGGUCCCAAGGGUAUGGCUGUUCGCCAUUUAAAGUGGUACGCGAGCUGGGUUUAGAACGUCGUGAGACAGUUCGGUCCCUAUCUGCCGUGGGCGUUUGAGAUUUGAGAAGAGUUGCUCCUAGUACGAGAGGACCGGAGUGAACGAACCUCUGGUGUUCCGGUUGUCACGCCAGUGGCAUUGCCGGGUAGCUACGUUCGGACGGGAUAACCGCUGAAAGCAUCUAAGCGGGAAGCCCCCUUCAAGAUGAGAUCUCACUGGGCCCUAGAGGCCCCUAAAGAGCCGUCCGAGACCAGGACGUUGAUAGGCAGGGUGUGUAAGCGUUGUAAGGCGUUGAGCUAACCUGUACUAAUGGCUCGUGAGGCUUGACCAUAUAACGCCGAAGGCGUUUGG
RNAcentral lists this ribosomal RNA (715 nucleotides) under Nitrincola tibetensis. Its description in RNAcentral is "bacterial LSU rRNA". It matches the Rfam family "Bacterial large subunit ribosomal RNA", at positions 2236 to 2925 of the family's 2925-position model. The record is from RNAcentral. Lineage: Bacteria; Pseudomonadati; Pseudomonadota; Gammaproteobacteria; Oceanospirillales; Oceanospirillaceae.